GGUUUGACAUCUUCAGGGUAUUUAUUAGCUAUUGGGGAAGACGACCAAAUGUGUGAGCUUCAUCCUGAUGGGAAUAGCUUUGACUUCUUCAAAGGACUGGUCAGAAGGAAACUUGAAUGAAGAUUCGUCAGCAGCUUCAACUGGAGGCAACAUGAACUGUCAUGUUGGAACAUGUGUAGAGAUUCUUUUUUUCAAGGCCGAUGAUGUCUGAGAAUAUAUAAAAUAUCUUGACUAUGGGGCAGUACAAAUCACUGGUAUGUUCUAUAAUUGUGGGGUUUUUUCCCUUUUUUCUUUAGCCGUUCCCCUCUCCUCUCUCUGCAUAUUUGUGUACCGUGACUAUGUUCUGUGUUUGGAAAGAAAAGAAAAGGAAAAAGAGACCCCUACAGUAGAAAAGGUUGUAACUCUGAUACAUGCAUAUUAUUAGAUUGGCCAUCACUCUUUUAUAAGGGGUUCAACUUGCAAAAAUUGUCUGCUCCAUAAUUUGGAACUAUACAUUUAGAUUUAUUCUUCCUAAAAAGGCUGAAAAGGAAGGAGAAAAAAAACUCAUACGUUCUAUUUGUUUGUCACGUAUUAAAGCUUUCAGGUUCCAUUUCCAAAUUUUACUAAUUUAGGGUCCCUCAAUAUGCCGAACACGUCAGCUUUGCAGCUUUUGUCCUUCUUAGGCUUGUCUUGCAUGAGCCUUGUCUGUUUGCCAACACGUUAGGUUAGCAAAAUAUAUAGCACGCUCUUAUUAUUAUUAUUAUUAUUAUUAUUAUUAUUGUUAUUGUUAUUGUUAUUGUUAUUGUUAUUGCUCUAAGUAUAUAAUACAAAACGUUAUGUUCUUCUUUCUA
Molecule: non-coding RNA, 830 nt
Organism: Jatropha curcas
Lineage: Eukaryota; Viridiplantae; Streptophyta; Magnoliopsida; Malpighiales; Euphorbiaceae
Source: RefSeq, a predicted model, not a curated record